UCCCCGUUACCGAGGCAGUCUGGCUAGAUAUUGCAACUAGCCACGGGGGUUGCGCUCGUUGAAGGACUUAACCUAACAUCUCACGACACGAGCUGACGACAGCCAUGCAUCACCUGUCACCGAGUUCCUUGCGGCACAGUCCAGUUUCCUGGACCUUCUCGGGAUGUCAAACCUUGGUAAGGUUCUUCGCGUAUCCUCGAAUUAAACCACACGCUCCACCGCUUGUGCGGGUCCCCGUCAAUUCCUUUGAGUUUUAAGCUUGCGCUCGUACUCCCCAGGCGGGAUGCUUAAUGCGUUAGCUGCGCCACUGACGAGUAAACCCGCCAACGGCUAGCAUCCAUCGUUUACGGCGUGGACUAC
This 360-nucleotide unclassified non-coding RNA is filed under the name uncultured bacterium. Its description in RNAcentral is "contains 16S-23S intergenic spacer region". The record is from RNAcentral.